GCUUUUCCACAGGAGGACAACUCGAAAACCCUCGCUCACGAGCUCGCCGCCUCCGCCCCCGCCCCCGCCGGCCGCCGGCAAUGGAGGGCGUCCACAGCCUCCUCUCCCGGCCCAACUCCGCGCCGUUCGCCUUCUCCCUCCCGGCGGCCACGCACCGGCGCCCCAAGCCGCCGCCGCCCCCCGUCGCCUGCCGCGCCGCCAGCCGCUGGGCCGACCGCCUCUUCGCCGACUUCCACCUCCUCCCCACUGCCGCCGCCGCCGACCCGCCGGCCGCGGCCUCCCCCUCCUCGUCCCCGUUCGUCCCGAUCUUCCCCGACACCGCCGACCGCGCCUUGCCCCUCCCUGUCGACUUCUACAAGAUUCUCGGAGCGGAGCCACAUUUUCUUGGUGAUGGCAUUAGGAGGGCCUUUGAGGCACGGAUAGCCAAGCCACCACAGUAUGGCUACAGCACAGAAGCUCUUGUUGGGCGUCGGCAAAUGCUGCAGCUUGCCCAUGAUACUCUGACAAACCAGAGCUCCCGUACUGAGUACGAUCGUUCACUUUCUGAGGACCGUGAUGCGACACUCACCAUGGAUGUUGCCUGGGAUAAGGUUCCAGGGGUGCUGUGUGUACUUCAGGAGGCUGGGGAGGCACAGCUAGUUCUUGCAACAGGAGAGCAGUUGCUUCAGGACCGUCCACCUAAGCGGUUCAAACAGGAUGUGGUGCUAGCAAUGGCACUGGCUUAUGUGGACCUAUCAAGGGACGCGAUGGCUGCAAGCCCUCCAGAUGUAAUCCACUGCUGUGAGGUGCUCGAGAGGGCACUCAAGCUUCUGCAGGAGGAUGGUGCGAGCAAUCUUGCACCCGAUCUGCUUUCACAGAUUGAUGAAACUUUGGAGGAAAUUACACCUCGUUGUGUAUUGGAGCUACUUGCUCUUCCUAUUGAUGAAAAACAUAAUAAUAAACGCCAAGAAGGUCUGCAAGGUGCAAGAAACAUAUUGUGGAGUGUUGGUAGAGGCGGUAUUGCUACUGUUGGAGGAGGAUUUUCUCGCGAGGCCUUCAUGAAUGAGGCCUUUUUGCGGAUGACAUCAGCUGAGCAGAUGGAUUUCUUCUCUAAAACACCGAAUAGCAUACCACCAGAAUGGUUUGAAAUCUAUAGUGUGGCACUUGCAAAUAUUGCUCAAGCAAUUGCAAGUAAAAGGCCACAAUUCAUCAUGAUGGCAGAUGAUCUUUUUGAACAACUUCAGAAGUUCAAUAUAGGUUCUCAAUAUCCUUAUGAAAAUGAGAUGGACCUCGCGUUGGAACGGGCACUCUGCUCGUUACUGGUGGGAGAUAUUAGCAAUUGCAGAAUGUGGCUUGGAAUUGAUAAUGAGUCCUGGCCAUAUAGAGACCCCAAAAUUAUUGAGUUUGUGGUGAAUAACUCUAGCAUCGAUGAAGAGAAUGAUCUUCUUCCAGGGCUGUGCAAGCUUUUGGAGAGUUGGCUUGUCUCUGAGGUUUUCCCAAGGAGCAGAGAUACUCGUGGGAUGCAAUUCAGACUUGGUGACUAUUAUGAUGACCCAAAAGUUUUAAGCUACCUAGAAAGGAUGGAAGGUGGUGGGGCUUCUCAUUUGGCUGCAGCUGCUGCUAUAGCAAAACUUGGUGCUCAAGCUACAGCUGUGCUUGGUACGGUAACAUCAAGUGCUCUUCAAGCAUUCAGCAAUGUUUUCCCAUUGAUAGAACAGCUAGACAGAUCAGACAAAGAAAAUCCUAGCGAUGAUCUGGAGAAAUCUCUUGAAAAGCUUGCCCCACAGCAUGUUACUGGAGAUGUCAUCAAUGAUUCCAGAAAUGCUGCUUUGAAGAUUAUCUCUGCUGGUGCAUUGUUUGCACUAUUUGCAGUAAUAGGCCUAAAGUGCUUGCCUCGUAAGAAGUCACUUCCUGCUAUUAGGAGUGAGCAUGGGUCUGUGGCAGUUGCUGAGUCCGUUGGUGGUGGGUAAACUUGUGAUCAAAUAACAUUACUUUCUUCAAGUCAUUGGAUUUUGAUUGACAUUUCCAGCAAAGCUAUGUACCAAAUAUUCCACAAAAAUGUUUCUGGAACCAUAAUACUUCCUGGCCCUAUAUGUCCAGCAGCAGAUGAAGAACCACUAGAAAUUCCUAGAAUGGAUGCAAAGUUGGCUGAAGAUAUUGUUCGCAAGUGGCAGAGUAUCAAGUCCAAGGCUUUGGGUCCAGAACACUCUGCUGUAGUAUUGCAAGAGGUUCUUGACGGCAAUAUGCUGAAGGUAUGGACUGAUCGAGCUACAGAGAUUGCGCGCCAUGGAUGGUUCUGGGAGUACACACUGUCCGACGUGACAAUUGACAGUGUCACUGUCUCAGUGGACGGCCGACGUGCAACAGUGGAGGCGACGAUUGAGGAGGUGGGCCAACUUACAGACGUAGCAGACCCUAAGAACAAUGAUUCAUACGACACAAAGUACACUACGCGCUAUGAGAUGGCCUACUCGAAAUCAGGAGGGUGGAGGAUAACCGAAGGAGCAGUCCUCAAGUCAUAGAACGGUGUGCUGUAGCAGUAGCAGUAGCUGUAGCUUAAUUCCCUUUCAGUUUUGCACUGUAAAUACAACGGGUUCUUCUCAGUCCUAGAGAGCUUGAUUAGGUUGGUCUGUGACGAGUUCCGCCGGUGGAAAAAAAUUGUCGCUAAGGCAUAUGCUCUUCGUUUAGUUUGUAUUAGUUGGAGGUUUGAGAUAGAUCCUUUGAAGCAAUGGACGGCAGAGACUUGCUGAUCAGAUUGUGUUAGGGAAAGUGUUUUUGGUUGGAUCCUGUAAGGAAAAGGCAGUACAAGAUGAGAUGAGAUCCUAGUGGUAGGCGUAAGUGCCACUGGCUUACCACAUCACUGCAUCAGACAAAGGUCACUGCUUACCACAUCAGAUCAUUUGCCUGUGGCUGUGGCUCCAUACCAUUGCUGGGUUUUAUGCUCAUUUCAUUUCCCAGAUUUGUCCGAGGAGAAUGAGAUUGUAAAUCUCCUUGGAAAUAAGUUACAUCAAACUGUAUUUAUUUUAUUCCACAGAUAUAUUCAGAUGGAAAUAGAUAGUUGGAAUUGAAAC
Panicum virgatum (switchgrass) is the source of this 3050-nucleotide RNA transcript. It is a transcript of the gene named protein ACCUMULATION AND REPLICATION OF CHLOROPLASTS 6, chloroplastic-like, with no coding region annotated. The transcript has 7 exons. Lineage: Eukaryota; Viridiplantae; Streptophyta; Magnoliopsida; Poales; Poaceae. The record is from RefSeq and is a predicted model, not a curated record.